Molecule: ribosomal RNA, 253 nt
Filed under: uncultured bacterium
Lineage: Bacteria
Description: partial 16S ribosomal RNA
Rfam family: Bacterial small subunit ribosomal RNA
Source: RNAcentral
UACGAAGGGGGCUAGCGUUGCUCGGAAUCACUGGGCGUAAAGCGCACGUAGGCGGAUUGCUAAGUCAGGGGUGAAAUCCCGGAGCUCAACUCCGGAACUGCCUUUGAUACUGGCGAUAUUGAGUCCGGGAGAGGUGAGUGGAACUGCGAGUGUAGAGGUGAAAUUCGUAGAUAUUCGCAAGAACACCAGUGGCGAAGGCGGCUCACUGGCCCGGUACUGACGCUGAGGUGCGAAAGCGUGGGGAGCAAACAGG